Molecule: ribosomal RNA, 492 nt
Filed under: uncultured bacterium
Lineage: Bacteria
Description: partial 16S ribosomal RNA
Rfam family: Bacterial small subunit ribosomal RNA
Source: RNAcentral
AGUGAACGCUGGCGGUAGGCCUAACACAUGCAAGUCGAACGGCAGCACAGUAAGAGCUUGCUCUUACGGGUGGCGAGUGGCGGACGGGUGAGGAAUACAUCGGAAUCUACUUUUUCGUGGGGGAUAACGUAGGGAAACUUACGCUAAUACCGCAUACGACCUACGGGUGAAAGCAGGGGAUCUUCGGACCUUGCGCGAUUGAAUGAGCCGAUGUCGGAUUAGCUAGUUGGCGGGGUAAAGGCCCACCAAGGUGACGAUCCGUAGCUGGUCUGAGAGGAUGAUCAGCCACACUGGAACUGAGACACGGUCCAGACUCCUACGGGAGGCAGCAGUGGGGAAUAUUGGACAAUGGGCGCAAGCCUGAUUCAGCCAUACCGCGUGGGUGAAGAAGGCCUUCGGGUUGUAAAGCCCUUUUGUUGGGAAAGAAAAGCAGCAGGUUAAUACCCCGCUGUUCUGACGGUACCCAAAGAAUAAGCACCGGCUAACUUCGUG